This 66-nucleotide transfer RNA is filed under the name Chrysis sickmanni. RNAcentral describes it as "tRNA-Val". Lineage: Eukaryota; Metazoa; Arthropoda; Insecta; Hymenoptera; Chrysididae. The record is from RNAcentral.
AAAAUUUUAGUUUAAUAUAAAAUAUUUCAUUUACAUUGGAAAGAUUUAAAUAGUAUAAAAAUUUUA